UAGAGCAAAUCUCAAAAAAACAAUCUCAGUUCAGACUGCAGGCUGCAACUCGCCUGCACGAAGUCGGAAUUGCUAGUAAUCGUAGGUCAGCAUACUACGGUGAAUACGUUCCCGGGCCUUGUACACACCGCCCGUCAAACCAUGAGAGUUGGCAACACCCGAAGUCGGUAGUCUAACCGCAAGGAGGACGCCGCCGAAGGUGGGGUUGAUGAUUAGGGUUAAGUCGUAACAAGGUAAC
Molecule: ribosomal RNA, 238 nt
Filed under: uncultured bacterium
Lineage: Bacteria
Description: partial 16S ribosomal RNA
Rfam family: Bacterial small subunit ribosomal RNA
Source: RNAcentral